Octopus sinensis (East Asian common octopus) is the source of this 754-nucleotide RNA transcript. It is a transcript of the gene named calcium and integrin-binding family member 2-like, with no coding region annotated. The record is from RefSeq and is a predicted model, not a curated record. NCBI's taxonomy places the organism in Eukaryota, Metazoa, Mollusca, Cephalopoda, Octopoda, Octopodidae. The transcript has 3 exons.
UAUGUCCUACUUCCCCACUUUCUUUGUGUGUUUGCAUGUUCGUAGGAAAGAAGGGCUGCCUGGUAUGUGUCUUCUUCAGAAGACUUUACUUGCACCAGUUUACUUAGAUACUUCUAGUCACCGUUGAUGUUUAGCUGAGCAGAGGAUUUUCCUUUAGGUUGUACCAAUCCACAGAUCAAACUUGCCAUACACCAUUGCUGUCGUAUUUUGGCCCUGAUGGAGCAGAUGUAAUCCUAUAAUCAAAGUUGUCCCAGUCGUGACCAACGCAUCUUGUUUUCAUGAAUAGUGUACCCUUUCAACUUUUAAAAUUUCGAUGAUGACAAAAUAAUUUCCCGAAGUGACAUUGAACAAGCAAUCUUAUGCUUAAUCAAGAUGAACCACCCAUGUGAUGACGACAUCUUGUCUGAAGAACAAAUUGAGUUUCUCAUUGACAAAGUAAUGGAUGAAGCAGACAUGGAUAUUGAGGAUGGUAUUGGAUAUGCAGAGUUCUGCAGCUUGAUGAGGAAAAAACCAGAAUUCCUAGAGUAAGUACAAUUUUAAUCACUUAGCAACAAUGUACAGCAGCUGCAAACACACAUACAUACACACACACACACUGCAGCUAAAAUAAGUCUGUCCCAACGAAAAGACGAACUAAGUGGUCGAAGUAUUAGAAGUUAACAGGAUAUAACAUUAUCCAAUAAUCCACACAAAAUGAUCAGAUUUGUAGAUUUAACAGACCUAGUUCAAUAUAGCAAUCUGUAUAUGUAUUCUU